CCGCGGUAAUACGUAGGGCGCAAGCGUUGUCCGGAUUUAUUGGGCGUAAAGGGCUCGUAGGCGGUUCGGUAAGUCGGGUGUGAAAACUCAGGGCUCAACUCUGAGACGCCACUCGAUACUGCCAUGACUAGAGUCCGGUAGAGGAGUGCGGAAUUCCUGGUGUAGCGGUGAAAUGCGCAGAUAUCAGGAGGAACACCGACAGCGAAGGCAGCACUCUGGGCCGGUACUGACGCUGAGGAGCGAAAGCGUGGGGAGCAAACAGG
This 263-nucleotide ribosomal RNA is filed under the name uncultured bacterium. RNAcentral describes it as "partial 16S ribosomal RNA". It matches the Rfam family "Bacterial small subunit ribosomal RNA", at positions 515 to 776 of the family's 1533-position model. The record is from RNAcentral.